Molecule: ribosomal RNA, 899 nt
Filed under: uncultured organism
Description: bacterial SSU rRNA
Rfam family: Bacterial small subunit ribosomal RNA
Source: RNAcentral
GCUCAGGAUGAACGCUGGCGGUCUGCUUAACACAUGCAAGUCGAACGCAACCUUCGGGUUGAGUGGCGGACGGGUGAGUAACGCGUGAGAAUCUGCCUUGGGGUCGGGGACAACCACUGGAAACGGUGGCUAAUACCGGAUAAGCCUUUGGGUAAAAAAUUUAUUGCCCCAAGAGGAGCUCGCGUCUGAUUAGCUAGUUGGUGAGGUAAAAGCUCACCAAGGCAGCGAUCAGUAGCUGGUCUGAGAGGACGAUCAGCCACACUGGGACUGAGACACGGCCCAGACUCCUACGGGAGGCAGCAGUGGGGAAUUUUCCGCAAUGGGCGAAAGCCUGACGGAGCAAGACCGCGUGAGGGAGGAAGGCUCUUGGGUUGUAAACCUCUUUUCUCAGGGAAGAAGCUCUGACGGUACCUGAGGAAUCAGCCUCGGCUAACUCCGUGCCAGCAGCCGCGGUAAUACGGAGGAGGCAAGCGUUAUCCGGAAUUAUUGGGCGUAAAGCGUCCGCAGGUGGCGAUUCAAGUCUGCUGUCAAAGCACGGGGCUUAACUCCGUUAAGGCAGUGGAAACUGAAUAGCUAGAGUGCCGUAGGGGUAGAGGGAAUUCCCGGUGUAGCGGUGAAAUGCGUAGAGAUCGGGAAGAACAUCGGUGGCGAAAGCGCUCUACUGGACGGCAACUGACACUCAGGGACGAAAGCUAGGGGAGCGAAUGGGAUUAGAUACCCCAGUAGUCCUAGCUGUAGACGAUGGAUACUAGGUGUAGCUUGUAUCGACCCGAGCUGUGCCGAAGCUAACGCGUUAAGUAUCCCGCCUGGGGAGUACGCACGCAAGUGUGAAACUCAAAGGAAUUGACGGGGGCCCGCACAAGCGGUGGAGUAUGUGGUUUAAUUCGAUGCAACGCGAA